AGAGUUUGAUCCUGGCUCAGGAUGAACGCUAGCGGCAGGCCUAAUACAUGCAAGUCGAACGGUGAUAGCAAUAUCAUAGUGGCGCACGGGUGCGUAACACGUAUGCAACCUACCUUAUACUGAGGGAUAGCCUUUCGAAAGGGAGAUUAAUACCUCAUAACACAUUGAACUGGCAUCAGUUUAUUGUUAAAGAUUUAUUGGUAUAAGAUGGGCAUGCGUCCAAUUAGUUAGUUGGCGAGGUAACGGCUCACCAAGACGAUGAUUGGUAGGGGAACUGAGAGGUUAAUCCCCCACACUGGCACUGAGAUACGGGCCAGACUCCUACGGGAGGCAGCAGUAGGGAAUAUUGGGCAAUGGAGGCAACUCUGACCCAGCCAUGCCGCGUGCAGGAAGAAGGCGUUAUGCGUUGUAAACUGCUUUUAUAUAGGAAGAAAUAGACCUUGCGAGGUAAGUUGACGGUACUAUAUGAAUAAGCACCGGCUAACUCCGUGCCAGCAGCCGCGGUAAUACGGAGGGUGCAAGCGUUGUCCGGAUUUAUUGGGUUUAAAGGGUGCGUAGGCGGUUUAUUAAGUCAGUGGUGAAAGACGGUCGCUCAACGAUUGCAGUGCCAUUGAUACUGGUAGACUUGAGUGGGAUUGAGGUAGCUGGAAUGGAUAGUGUAGCGGUGAAAUGCAUAG
RNAcentral lists this ribosomal RNA (677 nucleotides) under uncultured bacterium. Its description in RNAcentral is "bacterial SSU rRNA". It matches the Rfam family "Bacterial small subunit ribosomal RNA", at positions 8 to 693 of the family's 1533-position model. The record is from RNAcentral.